GCAAUUUUAUAGUACAACAAAUACUAUACAUGACACUAAAGAGUGUGGAAAAGUUGCUGCUUUGUAUCCUGAACCUAAUACCAAAACUGUAUUCAAAAGUUUUUCUAAAAAACUAUCUCCACCAGUAGUAAUUUAUGCUGACAUCGAAGCAGUUUUGGAAAAUUACCAUAUAAAUCUUAAUGAUCCAUCAAAAUCAUCAACUACUAUGGCACAGAGGCAUACAGCAUGUGCAGCAUCAUUUUAUAUUGUACAUAAAUACAAUGAACAUCUAAAUGAGAUGUGGACAUACGAAGGACCGGAUUGUAUCCAAAAAUUUUGUCAAGCACUUAGGAUGAAAACCGAUGGACUUUAUGAGAAGUACUGGAAGUCCUAUAAAAAACCAAUCUAUCAGUUUAACAUUUGGGAUGAGGAUUAUCAGGAACACGGUGAUUGCUAUGCCUGCGAGAAACAAAUUUCUGAUGAUGAUCGAGAAAAAUUCUUUGAUCAGUUUACAGGACAAUAUGUAGGUCCUAUUCAUAAGCUGUGUAAACAGACAUUUAGAUUAAGCGAUCCCUUUUUCCCGGUAGUUUUUCAUAACUUGUCUCGUUAUGAUAUACAUUUAUUUGUUACGUCAAUAAAAGAUGAACUAAGACCCA
Long non-coding RNA from Drosophila miranda, 635 nucleotides. RefSeq lists it as uncharacterized. The transcript has 2 exons. The record is from RefSeq and is a predicted model, not a curated record. Lineage: Eukaryota; Metazoa; Arthropoda; Insecta; Diptera; Drosophilidae.